This 76-nucleotide transfer RNA is filed under the name Dehalococcoidia bacterium. Its description in RNAcentral is "tRNA-Trp". It matches the Rfam family "tRNA". Rfam says of the family: Transfer RNA (tRNA) molecules are approximately 80 nucleotides in length. Their secondary structure includes four short double-helical elements and three loops (D, anti-codon, and T loops). The record is from RNAcentral. RNAcentral also lists the same sequence under 1 other name. Lineage: Bacteria; Bacillati; Chloroflexota; Dehalococcoidia.
AGGGGCGUAGCUCAGUUGGUAGAGCAGCGGUCUCCAAAACCGCAGGUCGCGGGUUCGAGUCCUGCCGCCCCUGCCA